RNAcentral lists this ribosomal RNA (1367 nucleotides) under Legionella pneumophila. Its description in RNAcentral is "partial 23S ribosomal RNA". It matches the Rfam family "Bacterial large subunit ribosomal RNA", at positions 1557 to 2915 of the family's 2925-position model. The record is from RNAcentral. Lineage: Bacteria; Pseudomonadati; Pseudomonadota; Gammaproteobacteria; Legionellales; Legionellaceae.
UGAGGUGCGAAGUGGUUCUGACCUUUUGGUACAGAGAAGUCAUUGAUGCCCGGCUUCCAGGAAAAGCUGCUAGCCAUAACUUAUAGAGAACCGUACCGCAAACCGACACAGGUGGACAGGUAGAGAAUACUAAGGCGCUUGAGAGAACUCGGGUGAAGGAACUAGGCAAAAUGGUACCGUAACUUCGGGAGAAGGUACGCCCUUUCUGGUGAUGGGAUUUACUUUCAGAGCUGGAGAGGGCCGCAGAGACCAGGUGGCUGCGACUGUUUAUUAAAAACACAGCACUCUGCAAAUUCGUAAGAAGACGUAUAGGGUGUGACGCCUGCCCGGUGCCGGAAGGUUAAUUGAUGGGGUUAUCUUCGGAGAAGCUCUUGAUCGAAGCCCCGGUAAACGGCGGCCGUAACUAUAACGGUCCUAAGGUAGCGAAAUUCCUUGUCGGGUAAGUUCCGACCUGCACGAAUGGCGUAACGAUGGCCACACUGUCUCCACCCGAGACUCAGUGAAAUUGAAAUCGCUGUGAAGAUGCAGUGUACCCGCGGCUAGACGGAAAGACCCCGUGAACCUUUACUAUAGUUUUGCACUGGACUUUGAUGAUGACUGUGUAGGAUAGGUGGGAGGCUGUGAAGUGAGGACGCUAGUUCUCAUGGAGCCGCCCUUGAAAUACCACCCUGUUGUUAUUGAGGUUCUAACUUGGUCCAGUAAUCCUGGAUGAGGACAGUGUAUGAUGGGUAGUUUGACUGGGGCGGUCUCCUCCCAAAGAGUAACGGAGGAGCACAAAGGUACCCUCGGUACGGUCGGACAUCGUACCAAGAGUGUAAAGGCAAAAGGGUGCUUGACUGCGAGAGUGACGGCUCGAGCAGGAACGAAAGUUGGUCUUAGUGAUCCGGUGGUUCUGAAUGGAAGGGCCAUCGCUCAACGGAUAAAAGGUACUCCGGGGAUAACAGGCUGAUACCGCCCAAGAGUUCAUAUCGACGGCGGUGUUUGGCACCUCGAUGUCGGCUCAUCACAUCCUGGGGCUGAAGCAGGUCCCAAGGGUAUGGCUGUUCGCCAUUUAAAGUGGUACGCGAGCUGGGUUUAGAACGUCGUGAGACAGUUCGGUCCCUAUCUGCCGUGGGCGUAGGAAAAUUGAGAGGAGCUGCUCCUAGUACGAGAGGACCGGAGUGGACGAACCUCUGGUGCACCGGUUGUCACGCCAGUGGCAUGGCCGGGUAGCUAAGUUCGGACGGGAUAACCGCUGAAAGCAUCUAAGCGGGAAGCCUCCCUCAAGAUGAGUUUUCCCAUGAAGCCCGUUGAAGACUACGACGUUGAUAGGCAAGGUGUGGAAGCGCAGUAAUGCGUGAAGCUAACUUGUACUAAUUGGCUGAUUG